Molecule: long non-coding RNA, 232 nt
Filed under: Brassica rapa (field mustard)
Lineage: Eukaryota; Viridiplantae; Streptophyta; Magnoliopsida; Brassicales; Brassicaceae
Description: long non-coding RNA (BRAP_LNC008379)
Source: RNAcentral
GAGGCCGUGUGGUUAUGGAUACCCAAGGCAUAGAGAAAGGUCUGUAGAAGGACUCCAACCCCGUGGUUCAGUCAGAUAGGGUCAGUGGGGUAACCACCGACUCAUCGGCUAAGACAAUCGGACAAUCCGAACCGCUCUAGCCAUGGGUGUUUGGGUUAUGUUCUAUUCUUCUUAUUCUUUUUAUCUAAUUCUUCUUCUACUGCUCCAGUAUAUUUGCGUGACCUUGUUGAUA